Molecule: long non-coding RNA, 807 nt
Organism: Zea mays
Lineage: Eukaryota; Viridiplantae; Streptophyta; Magnoliopsida; Poales; Poaceae
Exons: 2
Source: RefSeq, a predicted model, not a curated record
AAGCGGCGGAUCCCGCACGGCAUGAGAACGCGCGUCUCCACGGGGCAGCGACCCGGCCGCGGCGCCGUACAACGGCUGCAGCAAAGGCUCCGCCGAGCCCGCGCCACGGCCUCGAGGAGGCCGCCGCCACGGCGAGCGAGGGGUCGAACGGUCGCAGCGACGUCAUCAGUCUUCGUCCUAAUCCUCCUCGGCCGCAAUCCGACGAACAGGCGGGUGUCGCCUCGCUUGUCCCAAACUGGGCGACUUUGAGAUAUAGAGGAGACGGUCACGGCACGGGGCGGGACGGGGCGCGAGAAGGACGGUGUUGGCAACGGAACGUGUGGACGUCGUUUCCGUGGCUGUUUUAGGCCAGCAGACGCCGAACGCGGAAAAAGCUCAUAUGCCUGAUCCCGUGAUCCGUCAAUCGCGUCGCCAAAAACAAAAACACUCCUCAGGUUGUCUUCAGCAGAGGCGACCGCGACGCGCAUUUCAGGAGGAGAAACAAGAAGACAUCAAGUGUUGUCUCAAAUCAAUUGGAGGGUGGGACAUCAAAUGUUGCUGAAUCUAAUCAGUUACAAGUUGUUGAAUCGAAUGUAGAUGCCUCCAAUACGUUAGAGGGUGCUUGAUGCGUCAAGAGUCUAAUAUGUGUUGAGUGUCUGCAUUUUAUUUUGCUCCAAAAUUGGUCAAUGGAAGGGAUGUGGCAGAAUUAAAAGUCUUGUUGGGUGUAGUGAAUUUUAUUUUGCUCCAAAACUACUUCAUGGAAGGAAUGUGCUAAGCUCUAUUUUGUUCCAACACUACUUGCUGGAUGGAAUGUAAUCGAAAUUUGAA